Phyllopteryx taeniolatus (common seadragon) is the source of this 593-nucleotide long non-coding RNA. RefSeq lists it as uncharacterized. The record is from RefSeq and is a predicted model, not a curated record. NCBI's taxonomy places the organism in Eukaryota, Metazoa, Chordata, Actinopteri, Syngnathiformes, Syngnathidae. The transcript has 3 exons.
GUCGCUGGAAUCUCCUCAGCGGCGCGGAUCGCCGGGCCAAGAAAAGCGAAAAUGGAAACGAGCCCCCGCGAUCGUGCGCAAACACUCGGUCGGUCUGAGCGGGCGAGACGCAAGCGGCGAAGGAAGCAGACCAAGUUGUACAGUUUCAAGCGUGCGCGUUUGGAUUUUGAAUGACGGCGGUCUCCCUUACAAGAACAACAUCCUUCGUCGCGGGGGUGCAUCUCACUUUCCCCGACUGAUCAUAUCGUAAACAUGAGUCUCUUUUGACAGCCUCAUUUUAGCACAACAAGAAGACUCAGCACUGUAAAAGGUGCAAAUGGACGGAUGGAAGGAUGGAUGGAUGAAAACCAGACACUCCACUCAGCUGGAUCGCUAAUGUCAUCCUCAACAGUACCACUGACGGCCGGUCGCCAGAGGAGCCAAUUUCUCUCCCACAUGAUUUAUUCCAAAUAAUGACCCUUAAUAAAACACUUCUAUCUAGUUGACCUCCGGUGUCACAGUUGUAGCAUUCAGAAGCAGUGGGCUGACUGAACGCAUGAACCAAAAUAGAUUACCGUAUGAAAAUGUGUGAGAUUUCAUAUUUAUGGGCAAGU